UGCCAGCCGCCGCGGUAAUACGGAGGGUGCAAGCGUUAUCCGGAAUCACUGGGUUUAAAGGGUGCGUAGGCGGUUAGAUAAGUCAGAAGUGAAAGCCUGCGGCUUAACCGUAGAAUUGCUUUUGAUACUGUUUAACUUGAAUUAGGUUGAGGUUGGCGGAAUGUGACAUGUAGCGGUGAAAUGCAUAGAUAUGUCAUAGAAUACCAAUUGCGAAGGCAGAUUACUAACAAUUAACUGACGCUGAGGGACGAAAGCGUGGGUAGCGAACAGGAUUAGAUA
This 279-nucleotide ribosomal RNA is filed under the name uncultured bacterium. RNAcentral describes it as "partial 16S ribosomal RNA". It matches the Rfam family "Bacterial small subunit ribosomal RNA", at positions 506 to 784 of the family's 1533-position model. The record is from RNAcentral.